UUGCUCCCUGAAGUCAGCGGCGGACGGGUGAGUACACGUGGGCAACCUGCCUGUAAGACUGGGAUAACUUCGGGAAACCGGAGCUAAUACCGGAUAAUGCACAACCUCUCAUGAGGCUAUGCUGAAAGAUGGUUUCGGCUAUCACUUACAGAUGGGCCCGCGGCGCAUUAGCUAGUUGGUGAGGUAACGGCUCACCAAGGCAACGAUGCGUAGCCGACCUGAGAGGGUGAUCGGCCACACUGGGACUGAGACACGGCCCAGACUCCUACGGGAGGCAGCAGUAGGGAAUCUUCCGCAAUGGACGAAAGUCUGACGGAGCAACGCCGCGUGAGUGAUGAAGGUUUUCGGAUCGUAAAACUCUGUUGUCAGGGAAGAACAAGUGCCGGAGUAACUGCCGGCACCUUGACGGUACCUGACCAGAAAGCCACGGCUAACUACGUGCCAGCAGCCGCGGUAAUACGUAGGUGGCAAGCGUUGUCCGGAAUUAUUGGGCGUAAAGCGCGCGCAGGCGGUCUCUUAAGUCUGAUGUGAAAGCCCACGGCUCAACCGUGGAGGGUCAUUGGAAACUGGGGGACUUGAGUGCAGAAGAGGAAAGUGGAAUUCCACGUGUAG
Molecule: ribosomal RNA, 612 nt
Filed under: Bacillus infantis
Lineage: Bacteria; Bacillati; Bacillota; Bacilli; Caryophanales; Bacillaceae
Description: bacterial SSU rRNA
Rfam family: Bacterial small subunit ribosomal RNA
Source: RNAcentral